Molecule: ribosomal RNA, 467 nt
Filed under: uncultured bacterium
Lineage: Bacteria
Description: partial 16S ribosomal RNA
Rfam family: Bacterial small subunit ribosomal RNA
Source: RNAcentral
GACGAACGCUGGCGGCGUGCUUAACACAUGCAAGUCGAACGGAAAGGCCCUGCUUUUGUGGGGUGCUCGAGUGGCGAACGGGUGAGUAACACGUGAGUAACCUGCCCUUGACUUUGGGAUAACUUCAGGAAACUGGGGCUAAUACCGGAUAGGAGCUCCUGCUGCAUGGUGGGGGUUGGAAAGUUUCGGCGGUUGGGGAUGGACUCGCGGCUUAUCAGCUUGUUGGUGGGGUAGUGGCUUACCAAGGCUUGACGGGUAGCCGGCCUGAGAGGGUGACCGGCCACAUUGGGACUGAGAUACGGCCCAGACUCCUACGGGAGGCAGCAGUGGGGAAUAUUGCACAAUGGGCGGAAGCCUGAUGCAGCAACGCCGCGUGCGGGAUGACGGCCUUCGGGUUGUAAACCGCUUUCGCCUGUGACGAAGCGUGAGUGACAGUAAUGGGUAAAGAAGCACCGGCUAACUACGUG